ACCUGCGGAGGAUCAUUACCUAGAGUUUGUAGACUUCGGUCUGCUACCUCUUACCCAUGUCUUUUGAGUACCUUCGUUUCCUCGGCGGGUCCGCCCGCCGAUUGGACAACAUUCAAACCCUUUGCAGUUGCAAUCAGCGUCUGAAAAAACAUAAUAGUUACAACUUUCAACAACGGAUCUCUUGGUUCUGGCAUCGAUGAAGAACGCAGCGAAAUGCGAUAAGUAGUGUGAAUUGCAGAAUUCAGUGAAUCAUCGAAUCUUUGAACGCACAUUGCGCCCCUUGGUAUUCCAUGGGGCAUGCCUGUUCGAGCGUCAUUUGUACCUUCAAGCUCUGCUUGGUGUUGGGUGUUUGUCUCGCCUCUGCGUGUAGACUCGCCUUAAAACAAUUGGCAGCCGGCGUAUUGAUUUCGGAGCGCAGUACAUCUCGCGCUUUGCACUCAUAACGACGACGUCCAAAAGUACAUUUUUACACUCUUGACCUCGGAUCAGGUAGGGAUACCCGCUGAACUUAAGCAUA
RNAcentral lists this ribosomal RNA (517 nucleotides) under Epicoccum nigrum. RNAcentral's name for it is "eukaryotic LSU rRNA". The stretch from base 162 to 315 matches the Rfam family "5.8S ribosomal RNA". Lineage: Eukaryota; Fungi; Ascomycota; Dothideomycetes; Pleosporales; Didymellaceae. The record is from RNAcentral.